AGCAGCCGCGGUAAUUCCAGCUUCAAUAGCGUAUAUUAAAGUUGUUGCAGUUAAAAAGCUCGUAGUUGAAUUUCGGGGUCAGUAGGUUGGUCGUGCCACGGGUAUGUACUGGUCUCACUGAUUCCUCCUUCCUGAUGAACCGUAAUGCCAUUAAUUUGGUGUUGCGGGGAAACUGGACUGUUACCUUGAAAAAAUUAGAGUGUUUAAAGCAGGCUAACGCUUGAAUACAUUAGCAUGGAAUAAUGAAAUAGGACGUUGAUCUUAUUUUGUUGGUUUCUAGGAUUGACGUAAUGAUUAAUAGGGAUAGUUGGGGGCAUUAGUAUUCAAUUGUCAGAGGUGAAAUUCUUGGAUUUAUUGAAGACUAACUACUGCGAAAGCAUUUGCCAAGGAUGUUUUCAUUAAUCAAGAACGAAAGUUAGGGGAUCGAAGACGAUCAGAUACCGUCGUAGUCUUAACCAUAAACUAUGCCGACUAGGGAUCGGAUGAUGUUAAUUUUUUAAUGACUCAUUCGGCGCCUUAC
Molecule: ribosomal RNA, 520 nt
Filed under: uncultured Glomeromycotina
Lineage: Eukaryota; Fungi; Glomeromycota
Description: SSU rRNA
Rfam family: Eukaryotic small subunit ribosomal RNA
Source: RNAcentral